CCCUUUCAAUAAAUGUUGUCACAGUACCCUAGGCCGAUGUAUGUGUCAGUAAGUAAGUGGAUGAAAACGUUAUGGAGAAAAUGGACUUCACGUUGAACUCAUGUAUGACAUCCAACUCUCGUCUUCGUGUCGUGCCAGAGCUUCUGCCACUGGGUUCUCCAUGUGUGAGGAAUAGAGUUGAAUGGUAAACAUAUGUGCCACGGUGACGCAUAUAUGAUGAAGUUGCCUCAGUUUCAUCAUUUUUCAUAUUACAUUAACAUUACCAUCUCCGUUUACUAUUCGUCCAACUCAAAUGAAGUAUAGAUGGUAAAUAGCUUUUUAGCAUAAGGGUUUAUUCUCAUGACGUAACUCAAUGUUUGGAUGUCAGUAAUAUUAAUUCAUAUGUACCUUGUCAAUAAUUUCACUGCCAGUAUCUAAACGGUAAAUAUGUUACAAAUAUGAUAUCACCCUUUCGUUAUGUUAUUCAUAUGGGACCGGAACUACCUGAUGAUGUUGUAAAUUGCCAAAUUAGUAAUCACCCACAGACCAUGUAAGUUGGCAGUUGACAAUACUGUGACUUCCUAUUUUCAAUAUAGACUAUGGACUAUGGAAUCUAUUAUAUAGUGAUGCGUAUGCUAUUCGGUACUCGAUGAAUACAGAAUAAAAACACAAACCCACACAUACGGACAAUGAAACACAAUAACAAAUUCACCUCAAUUCAAGACAUGCAUCUCUAAUUUAAGAAUAAUUACUGGAAGAAAGACAGUGUAAGUUGAGCCUGUGGGGAGCUGGUGUUGAGACGGUUGGUUCAUACACUUUGACCUUUCAGUUUCUGUCCAACGUGGAGCCUGGUGAACCUGAUGGGCGGUGAGCUUACUGGAGCGCAGUGCAGCCAGAGACAUGAGGGUUCGGCGCGUUCCAGUAUUCCCCUUUGAACAAUCCCGUCACGGGAUUUCGAUUUUGGUGACGUUCGGCUUGUUUAUUCUUUUGAAAACAGCUACUUCUUCAAGGGAUGCCUGCACCAUCUGCGACGGAAACAACUCCACCUGCGUUGACGGUGCGUGUCUACCCGCUGCCUCAACCUGACGUCAUCUGGAGAGUGUCUGCAGUGUCGAGAUUCCAGGUUUUAUGGCGAACAGUGUGAAAACAGGUGUCCAGAUACAUGUAAAAACUCUCGUUGUCGGGUGAAUAACUCUCGCGUU
Molecule: long non-coding RNA, 1181 nt
Organism: Haliotis rubra (blacklip abalone)
Lineage: Eukaryota; Metazoa; Mollusca; Gastropoda; Lepetellida; Haliotidae
Exons: 3
Source: RefSeq, a predicted model, not a curated record